Molecule: ribosomal RNA, 447 nt
Filed under: uncultured bacterium
Lineage: Bacteria
Description: bacterial SSU rRNA
Rfam family: Bacterial small subunit ribosomal RNA
Source: RNAcentral
UCGGGAAUUUUGGGCAAUGGGCGAAAGCCUGACCCAGCAACGCCGCGUGAGUGACGAAGGCCUUAGGGUUGUAAAACUCUUUCGUCGGGGACGAUAAUGACGGUACCCGAAGAAGAAGCUCCGGCUAACUUCGUGCCAGCAGCCGCGGUAAUACGAAGGGAGCUAGCGUUGUUCGGAAUCACUGGGCGUAAAGCGCACGUAGGCGGAUAGUUAAGUCAGGGGUGAAAUCCUGGGGCUCAACCCCAGAACUGCCUUUGAUACUGGCUGUCUCGAGGUCGAGAGAGGUUGGUGGAAUUCCUAGUGUAGAGGUGAAAUUCGUAGAUAUUAGGAAGAACACCAGUGGCGAAGGCGGCCAACUGGCUCGAUACUGACGCUGAGGUGCGAAAGCGUGGGGAGCAAACAGGAUUAGAUACCCACGUAGUCCCUGAGCGGGCUGGCAAGGCGCAU